GACAGGUGUAAAUUUUGGGGAAAGAACAAAUUACAGGGUGCCAAAUUUUCGGUAGAAGUCAAACCUAAAAUGAAGUUAAGUUUUGAAAAGAAGGGCAAUUAGGUCAUUUGUGCUCGACACCCGCCAGGUGUCGGACAGGCACAGGGUCCGGCUCAAAUUCCAAAGUGGAAUUUAUGUCGGGUUCUGUCAUUUGGUGCGCCUCCAAGUUUUGAUAAUUCCCAUUCUUG
This 227-nucleotide long non-coding RNA is filed under the name Prunus persica (peach). RNAcentral's name for it is "long non-coding RNA (PPER_LNC004535)". Lineage: Eukaryota; Viridiplantae; Streptophyta; Magnoliopsida; Rosales; Rosaceae. The record is from RNAcentral.